Molecule: non-coding RNA, 23 nt
Filed under: Arabidopsis thaliana (thale cress)
Lineage: Eukaryota; Viridiplantae; Streptophyta; Magnoliopsida; Brassicales; Brassicaceae
Source: RNAcentral
GCCUAUUUAUACGGUCCACUGGA